UUGAGUUUGAUGAUGGCUCUGAGUGAACGCUGUCCAAAUGCUUGACACAUGCUAAUCGUACGACUUCGCUCAUAUUUUUAAAAUAUGAGCGAAGCAGUGGUGUACAGGUGAGUAUAAGAUAAUGUGACUGCCUUGGAGUAAGGAGAAAGAUCCCUUAUAAUAACAAAGGAACUAAGGUUUCGCUCUGAGAAGCAUGUAUCUCGUGUAGUUGUAGUAGUUAAAGUAGUGGUUUAACUAGCCUUUUACACGUAGUCGAAACUGAAAGGUUGAUCGAUCACAGUGGGACUGAAUAAAUCCCACGAUUAUUAUCACAGCAGUGAGGAAUAUUGGUCAAUAGCCUAACGGCUGAACCAGCAAUUUGGAAGAAUGUAUAGCAAUAGCUGAUUGCACCAACAAACAGUUGAUGCAAAAUUGAUUAUAUCAAAUAAAAUUCUAGGUAGAUUUUUGAUAAUGACAUUGCUUACCUAAGUCUUGACCAAAUUACGUGCCAGCAGUCGCGGUAAUACGUAAAAGACUAGUGUUAUUCAUCUUUAAUUGGUUUAAAGGGUACCUAGACAGCGAAUAAAGCCAUAGGAGGGACUAAUUCGCUAGAGUUACUUAUGAGGGGGUAUUAAAGUACUGCAGGUGUAGAGAUGAAAUUUUGUUAUACCUUUUUUCGUAUGAGAAACUAUGGCACAGGUAUAGGUGAAAGCAUCCCCUUAUGUGAUAACUGACGUUGAGGGACGAAGGCUUUGUGUCGCGAACAGGAUUAGAUACCCCAAUAGUCAAAGCAGAAAAUGAUGAAUGUCAUAGAUUAGAUCUGCAAUUUAUUCUAUAAAUGAAAGUGUAAGCAUUCCACCUCAAGAGUAAUUUGGCAACAUUGGAACUGAAAUCAUUAGACCGUUUCUGAAACCAGUAGUGAAGUAUGUUGUUUAAUUUGAUGAUACACAAAAAACCUUACCACAAUUUGAAUAUUUAUAUUUAUCUUUUAUUGAUUUCUACUAACAUAUUUGUAGACAAUUAAAAUGAUGCUUAUGUCCCAUUUAUGUGACUAAGCAUCAUAAAAGAGAAUAUAUUUACAAGCGUUGCACGGCUGUCUUCAGUUAAUGUCGCGAGAUUUUGGUUAGUUCCAUUAAAUUAACGUAAACCCUUACUUUAUUUAUAUAUAAAGUAGUUCUCCGCUAUAUUGGAUAUGAUAACAGGGACUAAGACAAGUCAUCAUGGCCUAAAUAUUGUGGGCUAUAGACGUGCCACAUAAACCUUACAAAAGGAUGUGAAAUUGUGAAAUUGAGCUAAUCCUCCAAAAAUGGAUAAACAUUUCAUGGAUUGCAGUCUGUAACUCGACUGCGUGAAAAAGGAAUUACUAGUAAUCGUGUAUAAGUACGGCACGGUGAAUCUAAUCUCAGAUAGGUACUAACUACUCGUCAGGCGCUGAAAAAAGUAUGUGCAAUAAGUUUGGCUAGUGCUUAUUUAAAUUUUGGGCGAUAUUGUUCAAAUACUUAGGCAUGUUGUCUUCGUAUGCGUGACUUUAAUUGGUGUUAAGUCGAAAUACGGUUCGUGUAGUGGAAGUUGCACGGGAUUUAUGUAUAUUAAAAUCACCCCUUGUGGAGCACCCCUCCCGGUUGUGAAAGAAUAAAAUAUGCCUAUUAAGUGGCUAUUUAUUUAGCUAAAAGGUAGAUAAAACUAAUUAAAA
Molecule: ribosomal RNA, 1672 nt
Filed under: Cladonia apodocarpa
Lineage: Eukaryota; Fungi; Ascomycota; Lecanoromycetes; Lecanorales; Cladoniaceae
Description: small subunit ribosomal RNA
Rfam family: Bacterial small subunit ribosomal RNA
Source: RNAcentral